UGGGUAGUAUCUGUAAGAACUACACCGCUGAAUGCAAGUACUGCAGAUUAAUUGAAAUUUAUACUGCCUUGAUCCAUAAAACGGACUAGGACAGGGGA
Molecule: regulatory RNA element, 98 nt
Rfam family: pan motif
Source: Rfam